This 71-nucleotide transfer RNA is filed under the name Phage Phass-1. It matches the Rfam family "tRNA". From Rfam's summary of the family: Transfer RNA (tRNA) molecules are approximately 80 nucleotides in length. Their secondary structure includes four short double-helical elements and three loops (D, anti-codon, and T loops). Lineage: Duplodnaviria; Heunggongvirae; Uroviricota; Caudoviricetes. The record is from Rfam by way of RNAcentral.
ACCGGAUUAGUCUAAUGGCAAAACACUCGGCUCUGACCCGAGAUUUGUUGGUUCGAGUCCAGCAUCCGGUG